Megalopta genalis is the source of this 2201-nucleotide long non-coding RNA. RefSeq lists it as uncharacterized. NCBI's taxonomy places the organism in Eukaryota, Metazoa, Arthropoda, Insecta, Hymenoptera, Halictidae. The record is from RefSeq and is a predicted model, not a curated record.
GAGGUGACUUUCAGGAGGUGCGUGGGUGCAGGAUCGCCGGGUCUUUCGAAGCCUUCAGCUGGAAAGCAAGCGGAGCCUUAAUUGCAGGAAGGAAUGCACGAAACCGAAUUAUUAACCCUUUGCACUCGAGUGGCGACUCCGAGGCGACGCUAGAAAUUGCUACGCUGUUUUCAAAAGAAUUUCUACGUUAUUAUAUCUUUCCGAAUUCGAUAAAUUGUCGAAUAAUAGAAGCCUUCUAUAAGCAUACACAUUCAAUUUCAUAUGUAAAAAAAACAAUAAAUAAUUAAAAUAGUCUCGAGUGCAAAAAGAAUUAAGUGCGAAUCGCGUGUGUUCGAAAACAUUCCAUUCUCGUAUCAAUCUGUCGACGAUUAGGCGAAUUUUCGCCGGUCCGCAGAAAUCGGUGGUACAAGUAAACGCGAUGUCCGCCUUGGAAUCGGAUCAAUGAUCAACGAUUACAACUCGCUGGUUGUUACAACUAAUUUAGAACAAUGAUAUCAUAACUUAUUAGUUACUAUAAUUAAUUCGUGACAAUUUCUACGAAAUUAUAUUAGAACUUAGCUUCGAAUCUCUCCGAUUAAAUAGAGAAAAGUUCGUCGAACAGUUUUUACCAUGCACUCCUUCCUGGCCGAUAUCUAGAAUCUAGAUCUAGAUCGCAACUAACCUGGUUUCUUCUCGAGUAUUGUUUUCGAUGGCACAACGACAUUAUAGGGCACAGUCUCCGGCGGCGUGCUGCCGCUUUUCAAGCCAAUGUCCACCUCCACGCUGACAGCCAAAAUCUUCGACUUUUUCUUCUUGUGCUCCUUGUCCUUUCUUUUGCUGAUCGGCUGCGGCAGGGCUCCAUUGCUGCGUUCGACACAAACAUUAUAUAUUAAAUAUAACAAAAUCGUAUUCUUCCGUUCAUCGAAGUCUACCUAAAAGCAUUUCGGAAAAGUCGCAGCUCAUCGAGAUCAACGCUUCGCGAUCUAAGGCUACCAUUUUAGGAUCGAAUCUUCGAUUGCCUGUAACCGAGCGAGCCUUUGCUGUGUUCGGGACCUCGGUUCCUUUCCCGGAGAACUGAAUGGCGUCAGCGAGCACGUGGCAGGCAACGUGCUACGCUACAAACGGCGGGAUCUUAUCGAGACAUCCGCAGACACCGCGAAACGAGAGGCACGAGCGUCGGCGACGAUAACGCGACAACACACGGAACCAUCGAUGGUUCUUCGGUCAGUUUGUCGGGCGCCGAUACGAAUAGUACACACACCGUCUAAAGAUAUAUCGUCGGGAUUUUUCGCUGAGUCAACAAACGGAAGACGUGCACGGUGGACGUGCAUGCGAACGCGAGACGCAAGGCUCGCACGUGUUACGUAAAAGCUCGUUCAGGUGAAACUUCCGCGGACUAAUGAUGAUGAGGCAUCCCGACCUAUCUUAUUUCUUGGCUGCAAGAAAUUAAUCAUCGUCGCAUUUGGUCCUGUUCUGCCGUUCUAAAACGAAAGGGUUCUAUCUGGAAAAUUUGAUAUUUUGAUAUUUUGAUACCCCUAUAUUGCUGUGUGCAUUUGCUACACGUGUACUUGUAUGUGUAAGCUAUAAUGUCCCACUUGAAGUUUUAAUAUCUCAUAAAUUACUUUUUUGUUUUAGGACGGAAGUAUUAACACUGCUCUCUCUCUCUUACUCUCUCCCCCCUCUCUAUCUUUGUCUCUCACUACCUCUUGUAUCUAGAAUCAAUGGAAGAACGCGUUCGUUGAAAUCUCCGUGAAAAAACGCGAACGCAUCCAUGUUAAUGCCCGAGGAACAUUGAACGCCGAAUCAGAAUCAGCAAGAGCGACCUUCAUGCGAGCGUGACACCAGACGAAUCAGAGAAUUGAAACGAACGUCGGAGCUCUCUCUCUCACGGAAACUUUCCUGGGAAGCAGGCGCAUUGAUGCAUGCACGGCUGAUUGGCUCGACCAGCGUGCAACCCAUAGGCGGAGACCAAUGAGACCGCGAGAAAACGAGGCGUGUCGUUUAAGCAAACGUUUCGAUUACACCGGCGACGAUUUCGACCGACCAAAUGGACGGUUUUCCAAGACCAGUAAAUGCGAGGAACCGACAUUAAUUAAAAAUUAACUGUUCCCAAUUGUUAAAAUUGAUUUUAAUAAGCCGUGAAAAAUAGCGCAACUACGUUGUCAAAUUCUUCUUAUCUGUUCACAAUUCUAGCAAAUAAAUCUUCAACUUUAAUCUAUGCA